This 393-nucleotide ribosomal RNA is filed under the name uncultured bacterium. RNAcentral describes it as "partial 16S ribosomal RNA". It matches the Rfam family "Bacterial small subunit ribosomal RNA", at positions 523 to 918 of the family's 1533-position model. The record is from RNAcentral.
AUACGGAGGAUGCAAGCGUUAUCCGGAUUUAUUGGGUUUAAAGGGUGCGUAGGCGGUUUGCUAAGCGGGAGGUGAAAUGCCGGCGCUCAACGUCGGAAGUGCCUCCCGAACUGGUGGACUUGAAUGACUCUGCCGUGGGAGGAAUGUGUAGUGUAGCGGUGAAAUGCUUAGAGAUUACACAGAACACCGAUUGCGAAGGCAUCUCACGAAGGGUUGAUUGACGCUGAGGCACGAAAGCGUGGGGAUCAAACAGGAUUAGAUACCCUGGUAGUCCACGCAGUAAACGAUGAUUACUAGCUGUUUGCGAUACAACGUAAGCGGCUGAGCGAAAGCGUUAAGUAAUCCACCUGGGGAGUACGUUCGCAAGAAUGAAACUCAAAUGAAUUGACGGGG